RNAcentral lists this ribosomal RNA (684 nucleotides) under uncultured bacterium. RNAcentral's name for it is "bacterial SSU rRNA". It matches the Rfam family "Bacterial small subunit ribosomal RNA", at positions 122 to 822 of the family's 1533-position model. The record is from RNAcentral.
GAACCUGCCUCAAAGAGGGGGACAACAGUUGGAAACGACUGCUAAUACCGCAUAAGCCCACGGCUCGGCAUCGAGCAGAGGGAAAAGGAGCAAUCCGCUUUGAGAUGGCCUCGCGUCCGAUUAGCUAGUUGGUGAGGUAACGGCCCACCAAGGCGACGAUCGGUAGCCGGACUGAGAGGUUGAACGGCCACAUUGGGACUGAGACACGGCCCAGACUCCUACGGGGGGCAGCAGUGGGGAAUAUUGCACAAUGGGGGAAACCCUGAUGCAGCGACGCCGCGUGGAGGAAGAAGGUCUUCGGAUUGUAAACUCCUGUUGUUGAGGAAGAUAAUGACGGUACUCAACAAGGAAGUGACGGCUAACUACGUGCCAGCAGCCGCGGUAAAACGUAGGUCACAAGCGUUGUCCGGAAUUACUGGGUGUAAAGGGAGCGCAGGCGGGAGAACAAGUUGGAAGUGAAAUCCAUGGGCUCAACCCAUGAACUGCUUUCAAAACUGUUUUUCUUGAGUAGUGCAGAGGUAGGCGGAAUUCCCGGUGUAGCGGUGGAAUGCGUAGAUAUCGGGAGGAACACCAGUGGCGAAGGCGGCCUACUGGGCACCAACUGACGCUGAGGCUCGAAAGUGUGGGUAGCAAACAGGAUUAGAUACCCUGGUAGUCCACACCGUAAACGAUGAUUACUAGGUG